This 955-nucleotide ribosomal RNA is filed under the name Trigonopterus australis. Its description in RNAcentral is "SSU rRNA". It matches the Rfam family "Eukaryotic small subunit ribosomal RNA", at positions 23 to 911 of the family's 1831-position model. Lineage: Eukaryota; Metazoa; Arthropoda; Insecta; Coleoptera; Curculionidae. The record is from RNAcentral.
GUCAUAUGCUUGUCUCAAAGAUUAAGCCAUGCAUGUCUCAGUACAAGCCGCAUUAAGGUGAAACCGCAAAAGGCUCAUUAAAUCAGUUAUGGUUCCUUAGAUCGUACCCACAAUUACUUGGAUAACUGUGGUAAUUCUAGAGCUAAUACAUGCAAACAGGGCUCCGACCGGAGACGGGAGGAGCGCUUUUAUUAGAUCAAAACCAAUAGGUGGCGGGUUCACUGAGCUCGUCAUCGUACAACUUGGUGACUCUGAAUAACUUUCCGCUGAUCGCACGGUCAUCGCACCGGCGACGCAUCUUUCAAAUGUCUGCCUUAUCAACUGUCGAUGGUAGGUUCUGCGCCUACCAUGGUUGUAACGGGUAACGGGGAAUCAGGGUUCGAUUCCGGAGAGGGAGCCUGAGAAACGGCUACCACAUCCAAGGAAGGCAGCAGGCGCGCAAAUUACCCACUCCCGGCACGGGGAGGUAGUGACGAAAAAUAACGAUACGGGACUCAUCCGAGGCCCCGUAAUCGGAAUGAGUACACUCUAAACCCUUUAACGAGGAUCAAUUGGAGGGCAAGUCUGGUGCCAGCAGCCGCGGUAAUUCCAGCUCCAAUAGCGUAUAUUAAAGUUGUUGCGGUUAAAAAGCUCGUAGUCGAAUUUGUGUCUCGCGCCGCCGGUUCAUCGUCCGCGGUGUUAACUGGCGAGUCGCGAGACGUCCUGCCGGUGGGCUUAGCCCGCGAGGGCGGCGGCCCAACUCAAUCCUGCCGCGGUGCUCUUCAUUGAGUGUCGAGGUGGGCCGGCACGUUUACUUUGAACAAAUUAGAGUGCUUAAAGCAGGCCAAAACUUUGCCUGAAUAUUGUGUGCAUGGAAUAAUUGAAUAGGACCUCGGUUCUACUUUGUUGGUUUUCGGAACCCCGAGGUAAUGAUUAAUAGGAACGGAUGGGGGCAUUCGUAUUGCGACGUUAGAGG